AUUUUUAUUCAAUAUAUAAAUUGGGGACUACGAGCUAAGCUUAAAAACCAAAGAAUAUGGCGGUAUUUCAUUUAAUCAGGGUGACAUGUAUCUUAAUCUGACAACCCACGAUUUUAAUUCCUAAUUUUGAACUACAGUAUGUGUACUGCCGUUAUAACACAACCCUAUAGGGUUGUGUAAGAGAUAUAAAUCAUUAUAUAGAUAGUCAGGUCCAAGCACAGCUAACAAUUAGGUGAGAAUGUGUUACACUUAUUUAAACAUUCAGUUUGUUUAUUUAAAUAUAAACAUAAAGAAGAACUUGAUAGUAAUUGUGUUAAUUAAGCUCAAUGAAAUUAAUUAGAAAUA
RNAcentral lists this ribosomal RNA (345 nucleotides) under Hirudo nipponia. RNAcentral's name for it is "partial 12S ribosomal RNA". Lineage: Eukaryota; Metazoa; Annelida; Clitellata; Hirudinida; Hirudinidae. The record is from RNAcentral.